GUCCUUCUCUCCCCUCUCUCCUCUCCCCUCUCUGUCCUUCUCUCUCCUCUGGACAGGGGAUAGGGCCGGGCCCACAGGACUGAGAGCCCGACCCCUGCGGGGAUCCUGCAGAGAGAUCCCAGUGUCCCGGUCGGCUGGGGAUCGGUCCGGUGGGAGAGGUGACUCCGAGUCCCCGCGGGAGCGACUGGCGCCGGGAAGAGAGGUUACUCUACAGAUCUGAGGAUGAGGAUGGUGUGUUAAUGUGAAGAUACAGAGGAGCUGGACUGAGUGUCUCUACAGUUACUCUACAGAUCUGAGGAUGAGGAUGGUGUGUUAAUGUGAAGAUACAGAGGAGCUGGACUUAGUGUCUCUACAGUUACUCUACAGAUCUGAGGAUGAGGAUGGAGUGUUAAUGUGAAGAUACAGAGGAGCUGGGCUGAGUGUCUCUACAGUUACUCUACAGAUCUGAGGAUGAGGAUGAGCUCUGACGAGGGGCCUCAGUGUGUCCACCCAGCCAGCAGGGGGCAGCGCAGCCCUGCUCGACUGGCACUCGCUGGCUGUAACAGCAACUCCAUGUGGAAGAGCUGUGGUUCCAGUGGAGCUGCUGUUACCUGCAGAGAGGAGCCCCUGUGCAGCAGACCGCAGGACCGGCCACCCUCCUCCUGGCCCCCGGAGGGGCACGGGGGGCCACGAGCCCGCAGGGCCAGGGGCGCAGGACGAUGACCUAUGAAUUGACAGCCAGUGUUGUAUGGCGCCUGCCUGUCAGUUCUAUAGGCCACAGGCCUGCGGCCUCACUCCUGGACGCUCGGACAGCCCGACCACCCCCUUCGCUCCGAGAGAUGCAGACAGAUGUGGGGAACUGGGAUUAGUGGGAUAAUAAAAGCCACAAGGCCUUUGGAAUCUG
Non-coding RNA from Lepisosteus oculatus (spotted gar), 883 nucleotides. NCBI's taxonomy places the organism in Eukaryota, Metazoa, Chordata, Actinopteri, Semionotiformes, Lepisosteidae. The record is from RefSeq and is a predicted model, not a curated record.